UCCCUUGUAACUGAGUUGGUAGAGCAUGAUGCUUACAACGCCAGGGUUGUGGGUUCGAGUCCCACAGGGGAC
Non-coding RNA from Salmo salar (Atlantic salmon), 72 nucleotides. The record is from Rfam. Lineage: Eukaryota; Metazoa; Chordata; Actinopteri; Salmoniformes; Salmonidae.